GGAUUCCCCUAGUAACGGCGAGUGAAGCGGGAAAAGCUCAAAUUUGAAAUCUGGCGGUCUACGGCCGUCCGAGUUGUAGUCUAGAGAGGUGUCUUCUGCGUCGGACCAUGCACAAGUCCCUUGGAACAGGGCGUCAUAGAGGGUGAGAAUCCCGUCCGUGGCAUGGACUCCCGGUGCUUUGUGAUGCGCCUUCGAAGAGUCGAGUUGUUUGGGAAUGCAGCUCAAAAUGGGUGGUAAAUUCCAUCUAAAGCUAAAUACAGGCGAGAGACCGAUAGCGAACAAGUACCGUGAGGGAAAGAUGAAAAGCACUUUGGAAAGAGAGUUAAACAGUACGUGAAAUUGUUGAAAGGGAAACGCUUGGAGUCAGUCGCGUUUGCCGGGACUCAGCCUUGCUUCUGCUUGGUGCACUUCCUGGUACACGGGCCAGCAUCGAUUUUGAUCGCCGGAAAAAGGCUUGGGGAAGGUGGCACCUUCGGGUGUGUUAUAGCCCCUUGUUGUAUACGGUGGUUGGGAUUGAGGACCGCAGCACGCCUUUUGGUCGGGGUUCGCCCACGCCACGUGCUUAGGAUGCUGGCGUAAUGGCUUUAAACGACCCGUCUUGAAACACGGACCAAGGAGUCUAACAUGCCUGCGAGUGUUUGGGUGUAAAACCCAGGCGCGUAAUGAAAGUGAAAGGUUGGGACUCUUCGCUGAGGCACCGACGCCCGAUCCUGACGUUCUCUGACGGAUUUGAGGUAGAGCAUGUAUGUUGGGACCCGAAAGAUGGUGAACUAUGCCUGAAUAGGGCGAAGCCAGAGGAAACUCUGGUGGAGGCUCGUAGCGAUUCUGACGUGCAAAUCGAUCGUCAAAUUUGGGUAUAGGGGCGAAAGACUAAUCGAACCAUCUAGUAGCUGGGUUCCUGCCGAAGUUU
This 910-nucleotide ribosomal RNA is filed under the name Pseudohydnum gelatinosum. RNAcentral's name for it is "partial large subunit ribosomal RNA". It matches the Rfam family "Eukaryotic large subunit ribosomal RNA", at positions 72 to 969 of the family's 3401-position model. Lineage: Eukaryota; Fungi; Basidiomycota; Agaricomycetes; Auriculariales. The record is from RNAcentral.